CGGUCUCGACCAGCUGCGGGCAGAUGAAGUGCACGUGGGCGUCGAUCCCGCCCGCGGUGAGGAUCUUCCCGUUGCCGGAGAGCACCUCGGUGCCCGGGCCGAUCACCAGCGCCGGGUCGACGCCGUCCAUCGUGUCGGGGUUCCCGGCCUUGCCGAUGCCGACGAUCCGGCCGUCCUUCACGCCGACGUCGGCCUUCACCACGCCCCAGUGGUCCAGCACGACGGCGCCGGUGAUCACCAGGUCGGGGCACUGCUCCGCGGUCACGGCGGCCUGGCCCAUCGACUCA
Molecule: small RNA, 287 nt
Filed under: Pseudonocardia sp. EC080619-01
Lineage: Bacteria; Bacillati; Actinomycetota; Actinomycetes; Pseudonocardiales; Pseudonocardiaceae
Description: 5' ureB small RNA
Rfam family: 5' ureB small RNA
Source: Rfam by way of RNAcentral